RNAcentral lists this ribosomal RNA (629 nucleotides) under uncultured Gammaproteobacteria bacterium. Its description in RNAcentral is "bacterial SSU rRNA". It matches the Rfam family "Bacterial small subunit ribosomal RNA", at positions 35 to 655 of the family's 1533-position model. Lineage: Bacteria; Pseudomonadati; Pseudomonadota; Gammaproteobacteria. The record is from RNAcentral.
GCUGGCGGCAUGCUUAACACAUGCAAGUCGAACGGUAACAGGCCCUUCGGGGCGCUGACGAGUGGCGGACGGGUGAGUAACGCGUAGGAAUCUGCCCAGUAGCGGGGGACAACCCGGGGAAACUCGGGCUAAUACCGCAUACGCCCUACGGGGGAAAGAGGGGGAUCUUUUCGGAGACCUCUCACUAUUGGAUGAGCCUGCGUCGGAUUAGCUUGUUGGUAGGGUAAAGGCCUACCAAGGCGACGAUCCGUAGCUGGUCUGAGAGGACGACCAGCCACACUGGGACUGAGACACGGCCCAGACUCCUACGGGAGGCAGCAGUGGGGAAUAUUGGACAAUGGGGGCAACCCUGAUCCAGCAAUGCCGCGUGUGUGAAGAAGGUCUUCGGGUUGUAAAGCACUUUCAGUGGGGACGAAAAGCUCGAGGCUAAUACCCUCGCGUCUUGACGGUACCUACAGAAGAAGCACCGGCUAACUCCGUGCCAGCAGCCGCGGUAAUACGGAGGGUGCGAGCGUUAAUCGGAUUUACUGGGCGUAAAGCGUGCGUAGGCGGUUCGGUUAGUCAGAUGUGAAAGCCCUGGGCUUAACCUGGGAACUGCGUUUGAUACUGUCGAGCUAGAGUUUGGUAGA